Molecule: unclassified non-coding RNA, 432 nt
Filed under: soil metagenome
Description: partial contains 5.8S ribosomal RNA, internal transcribed spacer 2, and large subunit ribosomal RNA
Rfam family: 5.8S ribosomal RNA (bases 1-120)
Source: RNAcentral
GAUGAAGAACGUAGCGAAAUGCGAUACGUAAUGUGAAUUGCAGAAUUCAGUGAAUCAUCGAAUCUUUGAACGCAUAUUGCGCUCUCUGGUAUUCCGGAGAGCAUGCUUGUUUGAGUAUCAGUAAACACCUCAACUCCCCUUUCUUUUUUUGAAAUGGGAGCUGGACUUGAGUGAUCCCAACGCUUUUCUCACCGAAAAGUGGCGGGUUACUUGAAAUGCAGGUGCAGCUGGACUUUUCUCUGAGCUAAAAGCAUAUCUAUUUAGUCUGCCUAAAAAACAGAUUAUUACCUUUGCUGCAGCUAACAUAAAGGAGAUUAGUUCUUGUGCUGACUGAUGCAGGAUUCACAGAGACAGCUUCGGCUGGCCUUUGUAAACUCGAUCUCAAAUCAAGUAAGACUACCCGCUGAACUUAAGCAUAUCAAUAAGCGGAGA